Molecule: long non-coding RNA, 263 nt
Organism: Thalassophryne amazonica
Lineage: Eukaryota; Metazoa; Chordata; Actinopteri; Batrachoidiformes; Batrachoididae
Exons: 3
Source: RefSeq, a predicted model, not a curated record
GAACGUAGCAGAGAGGAAGUGACAUCACUUUAUUGUACAGAGGGAGACAUCGUGAAGUGGGAGCAGAACAACUGGGAUACUAAAACCUGCGCACCAAUUCCUGAUCACAGCCUGCAUUGUGUGUGGUCAGAUUAUGAGGUGAAGCUGAUGUGUGACAUCACAGCCAGUGAGCUCAACAAGGCCACAGACAUCGUCCAUCACUGGCUCAAACAGGUGCUUCCGGACAGCUUCGGUUUACACACUGUGGAGGUCUUUCAUGCACC